RNAcentral lists this ribosomal RNA (397 nucleotides) under uncultured bacterium. Its description in RNAcentral is "partial 16S ribosomal RNA". It matches the Rfam family "Bacterial small subunit ribosomal RNA", at positions 523 to 918 of the family's 1533-position model. The record is from RNAcentral.
AUACGUAGGUGACAAGCGUUAUCCGGAUUUACUGGGCGUAAAGGGCGUGUAGGCGGUCUUGCAAGUCAGAAGUGAAAUUCCUGAGCUCAACUCGGGCGCUGCUUCUGAAACUGCAGGACUUGAGUGCUGGAGGGGAUAGCGGAAUUCCUAGUGGAGCGGUAAAAUGCGCAGAUAUUAGGAAGAACACCGGUGGCGAAGGCGGCUAUCUGGACAGUAACUGACGCUGAGGCGCGAAAGCGUGGGGAGCAAACAGGAUUAGAUACCCUGGUAGUCCACGCCCUAAACGAUGAAUACUAGGUGUAGGGGAUAUCGACUCCCUCUGUGCCGCAGUUAACACAAUAAGUAUUCCGCCUGGGGAGUACGGCCGCAAGGUUGAAACUCAAAUGAAUUGACGGGG